Molecule: long non-coding RNA, 1101 nt
Organism: Trifolium pratense (red clover)
Lineage: Eukaryota; Viridiplantae; Streptophyta; Magnoliopsida; Fabales; Fabaceae
Exons: 3
Source: RefSeq, a predicted model, not a curated record
UAUGGAAAUUACAUAAGUGUAAAUUGGAAUAACUUGUGAAGGACAAAAUAGUAAUUUUGUAGUAAUAGCCAUAUAAGUUCCAAGAUGAGAAGAACAACUCUCUUUCUCAAAACACUCUCACGCCCAACCUCCCUUUCUCACCAUAACCACAAACUUCAUACUCCAUUAAUCCAUCAAAUUUCUUAAUGCAUGUAUGAAUUCUUCUUAACCCAUCAUCAAUUAAACUCAAUAGAAGCAAAAACCAACCCUAUCUUCCUCUCCUUCCCACUCUUAGCCACAAACCCCUUUCUUCCUCACAAACUCAUACCUUCCACCAUUUGCACGAAUUUCUUAUGGGUAGCUUGUAGAUGUUGGAAACCAAUGUAAUGUAAGCAUUCCUAAACUUUCCCCUCUUCUGUGUUGAUUUGACCGAUUUUGAUGGUUAGAGAAUGAGAUAGUUAUUAUCCGAUUUCCCUUGAAAGUGAAGGUUGAAAGAAGUCAUGUUUCACUGUUAGUUUGGAAUUUCAGCAAAGAUGUGGACUUGUAACAGUGGAGACUAAAGAUUGAAGCUUGGAAGAAAUUGAAGAGAAUGGAAAAGAAAGAAAUUGGAAGGAUUUGGGUUAAACCCGUAUUCUGGACAGACCUCCACUAAAAAGUUUCAUGGAUUUCUAAGCAGUAAUGAAUUCGGAAGAAGCAUUUGAAGUUCGAGGUCUGAUGCAGAACUUUGGGCUACGGGUUUAGAGUGUUGUGGCUGCAAAUUCUGUUUUUCAACUAGCUCCGAAUAUGUUGUUAGCACGAUUCAAACGUCAUGUUCAGGUAACAGGUUGAGCAUGAUAAAUGGAUUUUCAAGAGGAUUGAAGUAAAGACGCUGUUUAUGGAAACUUCGUAGCAUUCACCUGUUAAAUUAUUAUAGAAGAUGAUUCAAGGCUUGAUCCUGAUUGUUAUGCAUUCUAUUUCGCUCUGAUGUAUAAUAUAUUAUAGGUUGUACAUUAUGACAGUUUAUUCAGGAUUUUGUCAAGAUUAUGUAUUGUCUGGCAAAUUAUCUUGUAAUUGUACUAUGUCGGACAAAAGUUAUUCUGUAAUUUUAAUGUUUCCCGAUUCAGUUAUGUAUGCUCCUAUUGA